GGCCUUGUGGCUUAAUGGAAAAAGCAGUGGAUUUCAAGUCCAAAGAACUGGGUUUGAAUUGCAGCUUUGCUA
Molecule: transfer RNA, 72 nt
Filed under: Monodelphis domestica (gray short-tailed opossum)
Lineage: Eukaryota; Metazoa; Chordata; Mammalia; Didelphimorphia; Didelphidae
Rfam family: tRNA
About the family: Transfer RNA (tRNA) molecules are approximately 80 nucleotides in length. Their secondary structure includes four short double-helical elements and three loops (D, anti-codon, and T loops).
Source: Rfam by way of RNAcentral